UGGGCUAAGUCUUGACUGGAAUGCUGGCC
This 29-nucleotide non-coding RNA is filed under the name Rattus norvegicus (Norway rat). Lineage: Eukaryota; Metazoa; Chordata; Mammalia; Rodentia; Muridae. The record is from RNAcentral.